GGACGGAGCAGCGUUUGCUUCCUCCCGUGUGAAAUGUGCCAGGACGGUGAAAACCAGCGUGACCGUAACAAUUGAGAGCCUUCCUUCACAGACAGCAGCUGAGGGCGAAGGCUUUUCUCCCUCUCCUCUGCUCGUUUCCUCUUGGAGCUCGAUGAACUGGCGGAGAGGUCAAAGGAAAAUGUUGACACGUCAAAUCCCCUCCACCUUUAGCUCCCGUUUGUCCCCCGAUCCCACCCCCUUUGUACCCCUUCAUUAACAUUGUUGGGCCGUGCUCAAAAGCGCAUGCCUGCGGUCCAACGCAGGGGUCCUGCGGCGCGGGCGCAUGCUAGCGUGCGGCGCGGCCCGCGCGGCGGUGGGCUCUCGCGUCAGCUGUCAGGCAGACGGUGAUGGAUGCACGCUGGAAACAUACUUGGAUUCUGAGCUAUGUCCUUCUCAUUGAAGUCCUUUCACACCAUGCUUGACCCUCAGGCUGCCGCCCUAAAAAUAAGUGCGGGAUGGAGAUGAGGCUGUAAGAUGUCUCCUCGGGACUCCCAUGUGUCUGGACACACAACAGAGACACGGCUGCAGUAGUAGAAUCCCCCUCCGCUGAUUUUCCAUGAAUCUCGAGACCAAUCAACAUGUUCCUAGCAGAGUUAAUACCAGCGCUCGGCUCCAUCAUCAUCUUGAGUGCUUUCAUUAAAGGGCAUUUUUAUUCCUCUGAACCCGGCUGCUCCCUCAGAGUUGCACAUUUCAGUUUAACCUGGUCUCUAUGGCAACGUACCAAAAAAAAAAAAAGAUAAAAUAAACGCAACGUAGUCACUUUGCUUUUCGACUUUGCGGUUUGAUUGAGACGGCGGCCGAAGGACGCGAGUGGUCCACUUAAAGAGACAGAGUGAGAAUGUGGAGGAGAAGAAUAGCAGCGUUGAGAGCUGGAGCUUGAUAAUAACUGCUUUGAGGCUUCAAUGACCAACUUCUGAUGCUAUGUGGCUUAUAGUUAUCAGUAGCUGCAACACAGAGUGUAAUCAUUUAUGCCUCUAAUUAGUAAUGAAUGGAACAACAGUUUGUAUGCGUUUGUGUUUGUGGAAACAUUUUGGACUAAAAAAGUUUUAAAAAUUAAUAAUAAAGUUUUAAGCUGCA
Molecule: long non-coding RNA, 1116 nt
Organism: Betta splendens (Siamese fighting fish)
Lineage: Eukaryota; Metazoa; Chordata; Actinopteri; Anabantiformes; Osphronemidae
Exons: 2
Source: RefSeq, a predicted model, not a curated record